This 1808-nucleotide unclassified non-coding RNA is filed under the name Hevea brasiliensis (rubber tree). Lineage: Eukaryota; Viridiplantae; Streptophyta; Magnoliopsida; Malpighiales; Euphorbiaceae. The record is from RNAcentral.
AAUUCCCAUUUGCAGAUUCAAGCUCAAUCCUGUGAGAAAUGAUAUAGUUUAUUCAUGUUAAGUUGUUGCAAUUAUAUCUCAGUAUAACAGAUCUCACGUGAUGUUGCACUCAACAACAUAACAAACCAUUGGUCCAUUGCUGUCCAAAUUCCAAACAAAGAAGUUCCUUGGCUUCAGACUACUAGAUCCAUACAUUUUUUUUUUCCAGCCAAUCUCCAUUUCCACUUUCUACUACUGUCCCUGGAUGAAUUUUGUACAAUUUUCUUACAGCCCCCUCCAUCACGACCUAUCAUCAUCUCUCUGUUACAUUAACUUUUUUAUUUUUUUUGCACAUUGGACAUGUUAUUUCAACACUGGAUUGCAAUUGAAAGCUAAAAUUCCUCACUUAAGUCACUCAUCAUUUUUGGUGCCAUGUUUUCUACCUGGGGUUGCCAGAAUUGUGUUUAUAACUUAUUCUUGUGUCUGAUUAACUUACCUCAAGCCAGAGUGGCUGGUUAGCUGGUUAGAUGGUUAAUUCCGUUGCUGGUUAGCUGGACAUCAAACUCUCACAAAGGGUAUUGCAACUUAGGUAAGGUAGAAAAGAGAGGAAAUAGAGAGGAAAAAAAAAGGAUUCUUGAGUAUAUUGAGAAAUACAGAUAGUACUAUCAAAAAUAAACUUGCAAUCCCAAUUCUUUGAUCCAUAGAAACUUUGCAUACUUCAAAGUAUUUCACACACUUCCUAAGCCAAACCCUAGGUUCUUUCUCAUCAAAAGCAACUAAUUCAAUUUUUGGCAAGAAUGGAUUCAUCCCUUCAACAAUACCAAUGUUACCAAUAUUGCUUUGAUCCUUUAUUUGUGAAUUAGGCAGAUUCUUAGGAACUGGCAGCAGACCUCUACUUUGAGCUUCCUUGGCUCCAUUAUCCUCAGUAGAAACCUCGUUAUUCUCGUCCUUUGCAAAUGCACUCAUGAAGGUUCUCCAAUCCUCCCUUAAUGCAUUGUUAUCAGCAAAAGGCUCAAUCCAAUUUCUCUUCCUUCACAUUAAAUCUUCCUUCCAUCAUAUUAAAUUUCCCAUCAACAUUCCCCUGCAUAGCCCUAAAUUUUUAUUCCAGUUCCGCAACCUAAACAUCUUGGGACUAACCACCACAGACCCCAUAGAUCUAGUCAUUGUUGCGACAGCAAUGCAUCCCUUACAGCAAAGCUCUGAUACCAAAUGUUAGGGGAGUUAACCCUAAGAGAGAAUUACAGAAGAAUUUAGAAGAGGAAAAAGAUUAGAAGAAGAAGAAGAAUAGAGAUAGAGAAGAUAGAAAGAGAGAGAGAAGAGAGAAUUGUAUUUCUUGAUAAUAGUUCCAGACUGCAAUUACAAGAAAUGAAUCGAGCUUUAUAUAACAGCUCAGUAACCAUCAACAGCUCAACAACUUUAUUAACCAACUUGUUACAACAGCUCAACAACUUUGGUAACUAACUAUUUCUCAUCUCCCGCCAAUCAUAACUUUACCACCUACUUUCUAAAACAACCCUAACUACUUACUACUUAUGUCUAUACUUUCUCAUCUGGUACGUGACAGGGGAUGGGGAAAACAAGAAACAUGAAUAGUAAGAUGCUCAAGUCUUGAUCGAUGGUCUGAAGUUUCUGACUUGAUUCUGAUAUUGGAUGCGUCAAAGAGUUCCACCACAAUUCACAACAACAAUAUUCAAUAUCAAAAGUGCACUGCUUCUCAGCUCCAAUGCAUAGCUACCUCCCCAUUCCAUUGUUUGUCUUCCUAAGUCUAUGGGGCUAAAAUCAGUCCAAAAUUCAACUAGAAAGAAAGAUCUGAAGAUUCUCAAAAUCAG